This 407-nucleotide long non-coding RNA is filed under the name Homo sapiens (human). RNAcentral describes it as "HSALNT0176122". The record is from RNAcentral. Lineage: Eukaryota; Metazoa; Chordata; Mammalia; Primates; Hominidae.
GUUUUGCAUCUGGACCUUCGAUACUGACAUCAGGGGCAUCAAUGUCCACUUUGGGGCCAGAAAUCUCAAUGUCAGCCUUAGGAAGGGUAACAUCCACAUCUGGGCCCUCUCCUUUGAAUCCUGGCAUGCUGAAUUUGGGCAUUUUCACCUUGGGCAUCUUCAGGUGCCAGUCUGGGCCAUGAACAUCCACAUCUGGGGCAUCAAUGUCCAUUUUGGGUCCUUUGAUGUCAACAUCUGGCACUUUCAUUUCACCUUCUACCUUGGGCACAGACACAUCCAUAUCCCCUUUGACUUUGGGGCCUUUCAGGUGUAAGUCCACAUCAGGCAUGGAGAUCUUGGGGGCCUUGAAGUGCAUCUCAGGCAUCUUAAACUUGGGCCCUUUCAACUUUGCAUCAGGACACUCCAGA